CAGUUCUUCAUCAGAAACCUGCAGUUUUAUCAGUAAAGGCUGGUGAAGAUGUUACUCUUCGCUGCUCAUUUGAGGAACAGAAAAGGAAUGAAAGAAUGGUUUGGUAUAAGCAGAAACCAGGUCAGGCUCCUCAGAAUGUGGGAUCACUUAUAGCAAAUAUGAAACUAAUAUCACUUGAAUUUGAGAAAUCUGGAAUCAAACUAGAGAGAACCAGCAACAGCAUUUCUCUAAUUAUUCCAAAUACGGCUAAACACGAUGAAGGAACGUACUUCUGCGGGUUUUCCCAAAUCAGCACAGUUCAGUUUUCCACUGGAACUUUCUUAACAGUUACAGAUCAUCCACAGCCAAAUAUCACACUUCUCCAAACUCCAGCACUGCAGUCGGUUCCUCCAGGAGAAGCAGUGAAUCUUCAGUGUACGGUUCUCUCUGAGAUCAGAUCAGCAGAUCUGAGAGUGUUCUGGAUCAGAUCUGCUGCAGGAUCAUCCUUUCCUGAAAUCAUCUUCACUCAUCACAACAGCAGCAGCAGCAGCAGCAGCAGCAGCAGCCGUCAGUGUGAGAUCAGCUCUUCUAAUCACAGCAGUGUGUACAACUUCUCCACCAACAUCCCCAACAACCACCAUGCUGCAACUUACUACUGCGCUGUGGAGACCUGUGGGAGGAUUAUUAUCGGGAACGGGACACCAGUAGAUCUGAGUGAGUCUUCGUAG
Molecule: non-coding RNA, 707 nt
Organism: Astyanax mexicanus (Mexican tetra)
Lineage: Eukaryota; Metazoa; Chordata; Actinopteri; Characiformes; Acestrorhamphidae
Source: the annotation of a RefSeq genome assembly